RNAcentral lists this ribosomal RNA (468 nucleotides) under uncultured bacterium. RNAcentral describes it as "partial 16S ribosomal RNA". It matches the Rfam family "Bacterial small subunit ribosomal RNA", at positions 28 to 507 of the family's 1533-position model. The record is from RNAcentral.
GACGAACGCUGGCGGUGUGCUUAACACAUGCAAGUCGAACGGUAAGGCCCUUUCGGGGGUACACGAGUGGCGAACGGGUGAGUAACACGUGAGUAACCUGCCCUCAUCUCUGGGAUAACAGUCGGAAACGGUUGCUAAUACUGGAUAUGAGCUUGCAAGGCAUCUUGUGGGUUGGAAAGAUUUUUUUUGGUUGGGGAUGGACUCGCGGCCUAUCAGCUUGUUGGUGAGGUAGUGGCUCACCAAGGCUUCGACGGGUAGCCGGCCUGAGAGGGCGACCGGCCACAUUGGGACUGAGAUACGGCCCAAACUCCUACGGGAGGCAGCAGUGGGGAAUAUUGCAUAAUGGACGGAAGUCUGAUGCAGCAACGCCGCGUGCGGGAUGACGGCCUUCGGGUUGUAAACCGCUUUCAAUUGUGACGAAGCUUUUUUGUGACGGUAGCAGUAGAAGAAGCACCGGCUAACUACGUG